RNAcentral lists this ribosomal RNA (460 nucleotides) under Lithobates berlandieri (Rio Grande leopard frog). Its description in RNAcentral is "partial small subunit ribosomal RNA". It matches the Rfam family "Bacterial small subunit ribosomal RNA", at positions 708 to 1383 of the family's 1533-position model. The record is from RNAcentral. Lineage: Eukaryota; Metazoa; Chordata; Amphibia; Anura; Ranidae.
CACACAAACGAAAGUUAUCCUAUAUAUACUUGAAUACACGACAGCUAGGAAGACAAACUGGGAUUAGAUACCCCACUAUGCCUAGCCGUAAACAAUUAAUUUACACCUAUCAGCGCCAGGGAACUACGAGCAAUGCUUAAAACCCAAAGGAUUUGACGGUGUCCCACCCAGCUAGAGGAGCCUGUUCUAUAAUCGAUGAUCCCCGCUACACCCGACCAUUUUUAGCUAAUCAGUCUGUAUACCUCCGUCGAAAGCUUACCAUGUGAACGCUCUUCAGUAGGCUCAAUGAUUCAAUACCCAUCAACACGUCAGGUCAAGGUGCAGCUUAAGAAAUGGGAAGCUAUUGGCUACAAUUUCUAACUUAGAACAAACGAAAGNCUAUGUGAAAUCAUAACCAUGAAGGUGGAUUUAGUAGUAAAAAGAAAAUAGAGUGUUCUUUUUAACCCGGCUCUGGGACGUG